Molecule: long non-coding RNA, 609 nt
Filed under: Sitophilus oryzae (rice weevil)
Lineage: Eukaryota; Metazoa; Arthropoda; Insecta; Coleoptera; Curculionidae
Description: uncharacterized LOC115890229
Source: RNAcentral
ACGUAUUGAGUAAAUAAUAACUUUUGAGAACAAAAUUAAGCUUAAUUUACAAGAAUUUUCCUAUAAACAAUUUUAUUAGUAAUAAAUAAAUUAAUUUUAUGAGCAGCUUAAAUUUUACGAAUGACUUUAAUCUGGCAACGCCGGUCAUGCUUUGGUCGUUUGCAAUUGAAGGAUCCGCAUGUCCUCUCGUCCGUUGCAUCGAUUUUUUUAAAUUUUCUGACGAAAAAGUGCGUUUAGUGUACACAAUUUAUGCGUAAUCUGUUACUAGUGCCCUGCUUAGCCUCCUGAAAAAGCGCGUUAUAUUAAUACUACAACACCACACACUCCUUCCCCACUCACACGAGCAUUGCUAGCUCUCUGUGUUGGUUAAUAAAAUUUCCUAAUUCAACAUUAGUGAAUUUCGUUAGCUGAUGUGGUUGGUUAACAGUGUUUUUGUCGGUGUGGAUCCCCGGCUUAAGAUGACUACAGAACGUGGCGCGGCCUUCCCCAAGAGAGGAGACUUCUUGGGUCACCCCCUAACCCUGAUGUUCGGGCAUCGAUGACCUGUGUAGCAUGCAGAGGUACCCAAGGGAGUCACCACCCUCUGAUUUACGAGCUAGGUGUUCUAAU